GACGAACGCUGGCGGCGUGCUUAACACAUGCAAGUCGAACGGAAAGGCCCUGCUUUUGUGGGGUGCUCGAGUGGCGAACGGGUGAGUAACACGUGAGUAACCUGCCCUUGACUUUGGGAUAACUUCAGGAAACUGGGGCUAAUACCGGAUAGGAGCUCCUGCUGCAUGGUGGGGGUUGGAAAGUUUCGGCGGUGGGGGAUGGACUCGCGGCUUAUCAGCUUGUUGGUGGGGUAGUGGCUUACCAAGGCUUUGACGGGUAGCCGGCCUGAGAGGGUGACCGGCCCCAUUGGGACUGAGAUACGGCCCAGACUCCUACGGGAGGCAGCAGUGGGGAAUAUUGCACAAUGGGCGGAAGCCUGAUGCAGCAACGCCGCGUGCGGGAUGACGGCCUUCGGGUUGUAAACCGCUUUCGCCUGUGACGAAGCGUGAGUGACGGUAAUGGGUAAAGAAGCACCGGCUAACUACGU
RNAcentral lists this ribosomal RNA (467 nucleotides) under uncultured bacterium. RNAcentral's name for it is "partial 16S ribosomal RNA". It matches the Rfam family "Bacterial small subunit ribosomal RNA", at positions 28 to 506 of the family's 1533-position model. The record is from RNAcentral.